Molecule: transfer RNA, 65 nt
Filed under: Dipodomys ordii (Ord's kangaroo rat)
Lineage: Eukaryota; Metazoa; Chordata; Mammalia; Rodentia; Heteromyidae
Rfam family: tRNA
About the family: Transfer RNA (tRNA) molecules are approximately 80 nucleotides in length.
Source: Rfam by way of RNAcentral
GGUGGCUCAGCAGUAGAGUGCAUGCCUUGCAAGCAUGAGGCCCUGGGUUUGAUUCCUCAGCACCA